GAGACAGAGGCAGAGAUGGGCACACCCACAGCAGGGCUCAGACAGGGACUGAAGGUCCCAGGCAGAGAUGGUCCCUUUAUCUUGAAAAGAUUCACAGUCCUGACCCCUCUCAGAAGAUACACACCUCCUUCCCACAAGGUGACAAGCCAGUGCCUAGGCUGGGAGGUGGUUACAGGUAUUCAGUGCCUUCUGCUAGUGCAGGGCUGGGAAGAAUUGUCUUCAGAGAUCUCCCCAGUGUGUAGCUGAGUUCCCAGAUCAUUGCAACAUUCUUCUUGUUGAGAAGAACAAACAUGGAUAUAGUCAAUCUAGUCAGUUUUUCCACAGGGCCUUGGGAAACAUGAAUUAUUACACUCUAGUCAAUAAACAAUCUUAGGACAAAAUACAAAUACAGUUGCAGCAAAGAAGUAGCAGAGGUAGUAACAAAAACUACAGCAGACUGCACAAGACAGUGUAUGUAGACACCAGACUAUUUUUCUAAAAUGGUUAGAAGACAUAUGAAAGCAUACAGUACAUCAGAGAGUAAAAAUGUCUUCUAAGACUUCCAUAUUUAUUUAAAAAACCAACUAAACAACAGGAAAAAACCCCCAAACAAAACAAAACAAAAGCCAACCAAGCUAGAAAUUUGAAUUCCUCUGUGGCUUGGGAGAAAUUUUUAGGAUAAAAAACAGAUUGAUGGUGGAAGAUUAAAAACAAAACUUCAAAGAACUCUAGGUACAUGUUACUGCUUGGGAGAAAGAGAAAACCAGACACCUUCCCCCCUCAAAAAAAAAAAAAAAAAAAAAAGAACCCAACCAACCAAAACCAUCCUUAAG
Molecule: long non-coding RNA, 812 nt
Organism: Passer domesticus (house sparrow)
Lineage: Eukaryota; Metazoa; Chordata; Aves; Passeriformes; Passeridae
Exons: 3
Source: RefSeq, a predicted model, not a curated record